This 374-nucleotide ribosomal RNA is filed under the name uncultured Pandoraea sp. RNAcentral describes it as "bacterial SSU rRNA". It matches the Rfam family "Bacterial small subunit ribosomal RNA", at positions 30 to 399 of the family's 1533-position model. Lineage: Bacteria; Pseudomonadati; Pseudomonadota; Betaproteobacteria; Burkholderiales; Burkholderiaceae. The record is from RNAcentral.
AUUGAACGCUGGCGGCAUGCCUUACACAUGCAAGUCGAACGGCAGCACGGGUGCUUGCACCUGGUAGCGGAGUGGCGGAACGGGUGAGUAACUACAUCGGAAUGUACCUUGUAGUGGGGGAUAGCUCGGCGAAAGCCGGAUUAAUACCGCAUACGCUCUGAGGAGGAAAGCGGGGGACCUUCGGGCCUCGUGCUACAAGAGCAGCCGAUGUCAGAUUAGCUUGUUGGUGAGGUAAAAGCUCACCAAGGCGACGAUCUGUAGCUGGUCUGAGAGGACGACCAGCCACACUGGGACUGAGACACGGCCCAGACUCCUACGGGAGGCAGCAGUGGGGAAUUUUGGACAAUGGGCGAAAGCCUGAUCCAGCAAUGCCG